This 496-nucleotide ribosomal RNA is filed under the name uncultured bacterium. RNAcentral describes it as "partial 16S ribosomal RNA". It matches the Rfam family "Bacterial small subunit ribosomal RNA", at positions 28 to 506 of the family's 1533-position model. The record is from RNAcentral.
GAUGAACGCUGGCGGCGUGCCUAAUACAUGCAAGUCGAGCGAACGGACGAGAAGCUUGCUUCUCUGAUGUUAGCGGCGGACGGGUGAGUAACACGUGGAUAACCUACCUAUAAGACUGGGAUAACUUCGGGAAACCGGAGCUAAUACCGGAUAAUAUUUUGAACCGCAUGGUUCAAAAGUGAAAGACGGUCUUGCUGUCGCUUAUAGAUGGAUCCGCGCUGCAUUAGCUAGUUGGUAAGGUAACGGCUUACCAAGGCAACGAUGCAUAGCCGACCUGAGAGGGUGAUCGGCCACACUGGAACUGAGACACGGUCCAGACUCCUACGGGAGGCAGCAGUAGGGAAUCUUCCGCAAUGGGCGAAAGCCUGACGGAGCAACGCCGCGUGAGUGAUGAAGGUCUUCGGAUCGUAAAACUCUGUUAUUAGGGAAGAACAUAUGUGUAAGUAACUGUGCACAUCUUGACGGUACCUAAGCAGAAAGCCACGGCUAACUACGU